Molecule: non-coding RNA, 30 nt
Filed under: Homo sapiens (human)
Lineage: Eukaryota; Metazoa; Chordata; Mammalia; Primates; Hominidae
Source: RNAcentral
CCCCAGGAAAGCAGGACUUGCUGCUAAGGG